UGGGGAAUAUUGCACAAUGGGCGCAAGCCUGAUGCAGCCAUGCCGCGUGUAUGAAGAAGGCCUUCGGGUUGUAAAGUACUUUCAGUCGGGAGGAAGGUGGUAAGGUUAAUAACCUUAUCAAUUGACGUUACCGACAGAAGAAGCACCGGCUAACUCCGUGCCAGCAGCCGCGGUAAUACGGAGGGUGCAAGCGUUAAUCGGAAUUACUGGGCGUAAAGCGCACGCAGGCGGUUGAUUGAGUCAGAUGUGAAAUCCCCGGGCUUAACCCGGGAAGUGCAUCUGAUACUGGUCAGCUAGAGUUUUGGAGAGGGGGGUAGAAUUCCAUGUGUAGCGGUGAAAUGCGUAGAGAUGUGGAGGAAUACCGGUGGCGAAGGCGGCCCCCUGGACAAAGACUGACGCUCAGGUGCGAAAGCGUGGGGAGCAAACAGG
This 429-nucleotide ribosomal RNA is filed under the name Chloroflexota bacterium. RNAcentral's name for it is "Chloroflexi bacterium partial 16S ribosomal RNA". It matches the Rfam family "Bacterial small subunit ribosomal RNA", at positions 355 to 776 of the family's 1533-position model. Lineage: Bacteria; Bacillati; Chloroflexota. The record is from RNAcentral.